UACGGAGGGUGCAAGCGUUGUCCGGAUUUAUUGGGUUUAAAGGGUGCGUAGGUGGCUAUUUAAGUCAGUGGUGAGAGCCUGCAGCUUAACUGUAGGACUGCCAUUGAUACUGAAUAGCUUGAGUACUGAUGAGGUAGGCGGAAUUGAUAGUGUAGCGGUGAAAUGCAUAGAUAUUAUCAAGAACACCGAUUGCGAAGGCAGCUUACUAAGGAGUUACUGACACUGAGGAACGAAAGCGUGGGGAUCAAACAGG
RNAcentral lists this ribosomal RNA (253 nucleotides) under uncultured bacterium. RNAcentral describes it as "partial 16S ribosomal RNA". It matches the Rfam family "Bacterial small subunit ribosomal RNA", at positions 524 to 776 of the family's 1533-position model. The record is from RNAcentral.